This 483-nucleotide ribosomal RNA is filed under the name uncultured bacterium. RNAcentral's name for it is "partial 16S ribosomal RNA". It matches the Rfam family "Bacterial small subunit ribosomal RNA", at positions 30 to 507 of the family's 1533-position model. The record is from RNAcentral.
UUAAACGCUGGCGGCAGGCCUAACACAUGCAAGUCGAGCGGAUGAAGGGAGCUUGCUCCUGGAUUCAGCGGCGGACGGGUGAGUAAUGCCUAGGAAUCUGCCUGGUAGUGGGGGAUAACGUCCGGAAACGGGCGCUAAUACCGCAUACGUCCUGAGGGAGAAAGUGGGGGAUCUUCGGACCUCACGCUAUCAGAUGAGCCUAGGUCGGAUUAGCUAGUUGGUGGGGUAAAGGCCUACCAAGGCGACGAUCCGUAACUGGUCUGAGAGGAUGAUCAGUCACACUGGAACUGAGACACGGUCCAGACUCCUACGGGAGGCAGCAGUGGGGAAUAUUGGACAAUGGGCGAAAGCCUGAUCCAGCCAUGCCGCGUGUGUGAAGAAGGUCUUCGGAUUGUAAAGCACUUUAAGUUGGGAGGAAGGGCAGUAAGUUAAUACCUUGCUGUUUUGACGUUACCAACAGAAUAAGCACCGGCUAACUUCGUG